UACACACACACACACACAGAUACACGGACGAGUACUCACGUCGGCGGCCGGGGAAGGACUGAGCACGGCUGAGGCUUGAAGAGCCACAAGACUGUAGCUUCCUCGUGGUAAGGUGUGCUGUGUUACCAAGAAUGUCUCACUCUGGCGUGCACUGCUCAGUAACACCAGACUUCUCUACUCGCAACAGCUCCAGAUGAGAUUCCAGAUAACGCACAGAUACCACAAACUUCCCCCCACACAGCUCGUGCAGACCUUGAACACUGGUCUAAGUGGCACCACCCCCUGGUAGCCUCCAUUGUCACUGGCCAACACCACGCGCGUCCUCUUCUGCAAUGGGAAGCUUUAUAUCCAAAACUAGCAUUAGGAGAACGUUCGCCACUGCUUCAGAAUUGAACUUAUAUUCAUGAGAUUCGUCUCUCCCAUAUAAAUAAAUAAAUAAAUAAAUAAAAUACAAAUAAAUUAAGAAAUUAUA
Molecule: long non-coding RNA, 472 nt
Organism: Portunus trituberculatus (swimming crab)
Lineage: Eukaryota; Metazoa; Arthropoda; Malacostraca; Decapoda; Portunidae
Exons: 2
Source: RefSeq, a predicted model, not a curated record